This is a non-coding RNA of Canis lupus familiaris (dog), 73 nucleotides long. The record is from Rfam. Lineage: Eukaryota; Metazoa; Chordata; Mammalia; Carnivora; Canidae.
ACCUGGUUGGCUCAGUUGGUAGAGCAUGCCACUCUUGAUCUCAAGGUCAUGAGUUCAAGCCCCAUGUUGGGUA